This 58-nucleotide microRNA precursor is filed under the name Branchiostoma floridae (Florida lancelet). RNAcentral describes it as "Bfl-Mir-129-P8_pre stem-loop". The record is from RNAcentral. Lineage: Eukaryota; Metazoa; Chordata; Leptocardii; Amphioxiformes; Branchiostomatidae. RNAcentral also lists the same sequence under 1 other name.
ACCUUCUGUGGUUUGGGCGAUCGUGUGGUUGAGACGAAGCCCUUACCCCAAAAGGUGU